UUAGGGGGGUGGGCUUCGAACCCACAUCUGAGGAAUCAAAAUCCUCCGAAAUUCCAUUUUACUACCCCCU
RNAcentral lists this transfer RNA (70 nucleotides) under Pristimantis hampatusami. Its description in RNAcentral is "tRNA-Gln". Lineage: Eukaryota; Metazoa; Chordata; Amphibia; Anura; Strabomantidae. The record is from RNAcentral.